This 522-nucleotide ribosomal RNA is filed under the name uncultured bacterium. RNAcentral's name for it is "partial 16S ribosomal RNA". It matches the Rfam family "Bacterial small subunit ribosomal RNA", at positions 356 to 895 of the family's 1533-position model. The record is from RNAcentral.
UGGGAAUAUUGGACAAUGGGCGCAAGCCUGAUCCAGCCAUGCCGCGUGAGUGAUGAAGGCCUUAGGGUUGUAAAGCUCUUUCGGCGGGGACGAUAGUGACGGUACCCGCAGAAGAAGCCCCGGCUAACUUCGUGCCAGCAGCCGCGGUAAUACGAAGGGGGCUAGCGUUGCUCGGAAUCACUGGGCGUAAAGGGCGCGUAGGCGGACAUUUAAGUCGGGGGUGAAAGCCCAGGGCUCAACCCUGGAAUUGCCUCCGAUACUGGGUGUCUCGAGACCGGAAGAGGUGAGUGGAACUGCGAGUGUAGAGGUGAAAUUCGUAGAUAUUCGCAAGAACACCAGUGGCGAAGGCGGCUCACUGGUCCGGUUCUGACGCUGAGGCGCGAAAGCGUGGGGAGCAAACAGGAUUAGAUACCCUGGUAGUCCACGCCGUAAACGAUGGAUGCUAGCCGUUGGCAGGCUUGCCUGUCAGUGGCGCAGCUAACGCUUUAAGCAUCCCGCCUGGGGGAGUACGGCCGCAAGGUU